This 385-nucleotide ribosomal RNA is filed under the name uncultured eukaryote. RNAcentral describes it as "partial 18S ribosomal RNA". It matches the Rfam family "Eukaryotic small subunit ribosomal RNA", at positions 592 to 975 of the family's 1831-position model. The record is from RNAcentral.
CAAUAGCGUAUAUUAAAGUUGUUGCAGUUAAAAAGCUCGUAGUUGGAUUUCUGGAUCGAACGCUUCGUCCGCCGCUGUGCGGUGUGUACUGAGGUUUUGUUUCGAUUCAUCCUUGCAGGGAAGCGAGUUCGAGAUUAAUUUGUUGGCUCGGGGAACUGCAUCUUUUACUGUGAAAAAAUUAGAGUGUUUAAAGCAGGCAUUUUGCUGUGAAUACAUUAGCAUGGAAUAAUAACAUAGGACUUUGGUUCUAUUUUGUUGGUUGGAGGCCAAGGUAAUGAUUAAUAGGGACAGUUGGGGGUAUUCAUAUUUAAUUGUCAGAGGUGAAAUUCUUGGAUUUAUGAAAGAUGAACUCAUGCGAAAGCAUUUACCAAGGAUGUUUUCAUUA